Molecule: ribosomal RNA, 471 nt
Filed under: uncultured bacterium
Lineage: Bacteria
Description: bacterial SSU rRNA
Rfam family: Bacterial small subunit ribosomal RNA
Source: RNAcentral
UUGCCGCGUGUGUGAAGAAGGCCUGAGGGUUGUAAAGCUCUUUCAGUUGGGGAGGAGGGUUGACUGGCUCUAAGAGCUGGUUAAUUGGCACGUUUCCCUCAGAACAAGCACCGGCUAACUCCGUGCCACGUCAGCCUGCUGUGUAAUACUUGAGUGGUGCGUAGCGUUAAUCGGAGUUACUGGGCGUAAAGGGUGCGUAAGUUGUUGAAUAAGUUAUCUGUGAGAUCCCUGGGCUCAACCUGGGCAGGUCAGAUAAGACUGUUGGACUCGAGUAUAGUGAGAGGGUAGUGGAAUUUCCGGUGUAGCAGUGAAAUGCGUAGAGAUCAGAACGAACACCAGAUGGCGACGGCGGCUACCUGGACUGAUACUGACACUGAAGCACGAAUGCGUGGGGAGCANACANGAUUAAAUACCCUGGCAGUCCNCGCUGUANACGAUGUCCACUAGUUGUUGCUGAUAUGAAUAUCAUUA